RNAcentral lists this transfer RNA (90 nucleotides) under Escherichia coli. RNAcentral's name for it is "tRNA-Leu". It matches the Rfam family "tRNA". From Rfam's summary of the family: Transfer RNA (tRNA) molecules are approximately 80 nucleotides in length. Their secondary structure includes four short double-helical elements and three loops (D, anti-codon, and T loops). Lineage: Bacteria; Pseudomonadati; Pseudomonadota; Gammaproteobacteria; Enterobacterales; Enterobacteriaceae. The record is from RNAcentral.
GCCGAGGUGGUGCACGAAUUGGUAGACACGCUACCUUGAGGUGGUAGUGCCCAAUAGGGCUUACGGGUUCAAGUCCCGUCCUCGGUACCA